GGGGAGUGGCUGAAUGGUGAGGUGGAGGCGGGGUGAGUGGAAUACUGAGGGGCAGCAGGUGAGGAGAGAAGAAGACUGACACAAAUAAGCCAAAACAAUCAGUUGCAUGAAGAGAUCCUCAUCAGUGGCUCUCACACAUCAAACAGCCUCAGAGGAAGGACCGAGUGGCACUGUUGGGGAGGAAGGGAGUUCAAAGAUGAAUGGCCCCACGUCUGCUUUUAACCUGGUGGUGUUGUGUAUAUAUACACUGUCGUCAGUGUGUGGAGUGCACGUGUACAAGCAGCGUGGAGAAAUACGGACAGCACAGGAGAAAGAGAGCAUGAAGAAAGAGAACAAGUUGGAGUUGAGAAGGAGAAGGAGAGCAUUAAAGCCCUGCAGGAAAAUGCAGUUAAAUGCUGCAAAAUUACAGAUAUGUUCACAAGCAAGGAACAUGGAUAAGAGUGUACAGCCAUCAAGUGGCAACCUCCGGGUCCGAAAAAUAAAGCCAAUGCAGAAAUGCCUUAAACCUGCAUUCUCCCUAAUGUCCAGCCGGGGGCAACUCCACUUGAUGCAAAAAUAAAU
Long non-coding RNA from Cottoperca gobio, 561 nucleotides. NCBI's taxonomy places the organism in Eukaryota, Metazoa, Chordata, Actinopteri, Perciformes, Bovichtidae. The record is from Ensembl.